Colletotrichum tofieldiae is the source of this 79-nucleotide non-coding RNA. Lineage: Eukaryota; Fungi; Ascomycota; Sordariomycetes; Glomerellales; Glomerellaceae. The record is from the annotation of a GenBank genome assembly.
GGUGGAGUGGCCGAGUGGUUAAGGCGCUGUGUUUAGGCCGCAGUGGGAAACCGCGCGAGUUCGAAUCUCGUCUCCAUCA